This is a long non-coding RNA of Drosophila montana, 656 nucleotides long. RefSeq lists it as uncharacterized. The record is from RefSeq and is a predicted model, not a curated record. The transcript has 2 exons. NCBI's taxonomy places the organism in Eukaryota, Metazoa, Arthropoda, Insecta, Diptera, Drosophilidae.
CAAUUAUAUAGUAAACUUGAUUAACUAUCGGCAUAAGUUUUCAAUAUAGAAAAUAACCCAUGUAAGAUUAGGCUAAAUAAAAAACCCAAGGUAGCCAGACAGACUCUUUAGCGAUAAGUAUGUAUACUAUAGGACUUUCCCAGAGAUUACAAUAAAUGCGCUGUAAAAAAUAUGCAUAUAAAUUAUCAAUUUAAGACCCGAGCAUCAGUUGAAAUCGAGCUGCCGCAGACUGCAAGACCUAGACAAAAUGAAGAUUAAAGUCGCCUUGUUUUUGGUCUUCACUACGAUUGCCUUGGCCAGUGGCUUCAGAGCGCCAGAUUGUCCGCAUUGGAGCAAAUGCUGGAAGGAUUAUAAGAGCGGCCGAGUUAUCUACUGAUUGCAAUUUAAAUAUUUAAUAAUGUGUAGUUCUAGAAAUGUCAACAUCAUCAUCAAACUCUGUGCACUCCGUAAUCAUCUAGUGAAUAAAUAGUUAUUAAUUAAAAAUGAUAUGAAACGAUCCCAAUAGAAUGCAAAAACGUGUCAUUUAAAUCGUUUUCCAUUAAGCUUAUGUGCUUAAUUAAGCGUUAAGGCCAUUAGAGCGAAUGCUAUCAGAACUCUGAAGUCCAAACAAUUUUCGCAAUGAAAUGCCAAUGAAAUAAAGCUUAAUGCAAAAUAAA